GCGCGAAAACUUUACAAUGCGGGAAACCGUGAUAAGGGAACUCCGAGUGCCCGUAAAAUCGGGCUGUCCAUCUGUGUAAAAAACAGGUGAAGAAAGGGCCGGGCAAGACCGGUGCCAGCCGCCGCGGUAAUACCGGCGGCUCGAGUGGUGGCCACUAUUACUGGGCUUAAAGCGUUCGUAGCUGGUCUGUUAAGUCUCUGGGGAAAUCUACUGGCUUAACCAAUAGGCGUCUCAGGGAUACUGGCAGACUAGGGACCGGGAGAGGUGAGAGGUACUCCAGGGGUAGGAGUGAAAUCCUGUAAUCCUUGGGGGACCACCUGUGGCGAAGGCGUCUCACCAGAACGGCUCCGACAGUGAGGGACGAAAGCUGGGGGAGCAAACCGGAUUAGAUACCCGGGUAGUCCCCAGCCGUAAACGAUGCGCGUUAGGUGUAUCGAUGGACCACGAGUCAUCGAGGUGCCGAAGAGAAAUCGUGAAACCGUGCCCGCCUGGGGAAAUCGGUCGCAAGGCUGAAAACUUUAAAGGAAUUGGCGGGGGAGCACCACACAGGUGG
Molecule: ribosomal RNA, 553 nt
Filed under: uncultured Methanomicrobiales archaeon
Lineage: Archaea; Methanobacteriati; Methanobacteriota; Methanomicrobia; Methanomicrobiales
Description: bacterial SSU rRNA
Rfam family: Archaeal small subunit ribosomal RNA
Source: RNAcentral